RNAcentral lists this ribosomal RNA (253 nucleotides) under uncultured bacterium. RNAcentral's name for it is "partial 16S ribosomal RNA". It matches the Rfam family "Bacterial small subunit ribosomal RNA", at positions 524 to 776 of the family's 1533-position model. The record is from RNAcentral.
UACGUAGGGUGCAAGCGUUGUCCGGAUUUAUUGGGUUUAAAGGGAGCGUAGGCGGCCAAAUAAGUCAGUGGUGAAAGAAAUGGGCUUAACCCAUGAGCUGCCAUUGAUACUGUUUGGCUUGAGUACUGAUGAGGUAGGCGGAAUUGACAGUGUAGCGGUGAAAUGCUUAGAUAUUGUCAAGAACACCGAUUGCGAAGGCAGCUUACUAAGGAGUUACUGACGCUGAGGCUCGAAAGCGUGGGGAUCGAACAGG